Pantherophis guttatus is the source of this 652-nucleotide long non-coding RNA. RefSeq lists it as uncharacterized. The record is from RefSeq and is a predicted model, not a curated record. NCBI's taxonomy places the organism in Eukaryota, Metazoa, Chordata, Lepidosauria, Squamata, Colubridae.
UCAUAAAUUGAUAUUACACUUGAGUGGACACAUCUAAGGGCUUUCAGAAACCACAGAUAAGCCCCUGAUGUGACUUGUUUAUUUAUUUUAAGAAUAAAACUUUAUACUUAUCGCUUACAGAAACGCUGGGCUAUCACUCACAGAAAUGCUACCAACCAAACCAUAACUUCAAUACAAAAUCAAAGCAUUCCUUAAGUGACAGCAUUUUGUUUUAUUGCUUCUUCUGACUAUUCAGGACUUCAUGGACAUCAUUUUGCCAGUUUCCAGGCUUCACUAAGAGAAAAUGGAACAUUCUUCUUCAGAAUGAAUGGAACCAACAGCAAUUCUUUAAAAUGAUGGAUGAAGUAAUUUUUCCCUCUCUCUGGCAGCAGUUAUAUUUCUCAGUGACACAGGAGGAGGAAGAAAACAUUUAGGAGGAGCUUCCACUUCUUCAAAAAAGUAGACAGAUACUUCCAGACCUCAGGUACAUAACAGAAGAAGCAAGUAAGCACUGUAUGAAGGUUUUUCUUCCAGGUCUAGUCCCAUUCCCAGAAAGGCAGAACUGAAAGGCAAUGGAAAGAAAUGAAAUAAUGAUCCACAGUUCUGAAGGCCCCCAACGCACCAUCAUAGCUGUCUAUUUGAGAAUUGUAUAAAUACUACUGCUUUCAAAAUA